GGGCGACUAGCUCAGCUGGUUAGAGCGCUGUCCUCACACGACAGAGGUCUCUGGUUCGAUCCCAGAGUCGCCCA
RNAcentral lists this transfer RNA (74 nucleotides) under bacterium. Its description in RNAcentral is "tRNA-Val". The record is from RNAcentral.